AGCUCAAAUUUGAAAUCUGGCGUAAGCCCGAGUUGUAAUUUGAAGAGGAUGCAUCUGCAACGAGUGCUGGCUCAAGUUUCUUGGAACGGAGCGUCAUAGAGGGUGAGAACCCCGUAGUUAGCUAGAUACUCUGUUGCUUAUGUUGCUCCUUCGAAGAGUCGAGUUGCUUGGGAAUGCAGCUCUAAGUGGGAGGUAAAUUUCUUCUAAGGCUAAAUAUCGGCCGGAGACCGAUAGCGAACAAGUAGAGUGAUCGAAAGAUGAAAAGCACUUUGAAAAGAGGGUUAAAUAGUACGUGAAAUUGUUGAAAGGGAAGCGUUUGCAGUCAGACUUGCUUUCGAUGAACAAGGUUUCUUUGCGAAGCUUUUAUUCAGUUGUGAGCAGGCCAGCAUCGGUUUGAGCGGUAGGAAAAAGGUGUGGAAAAUGUAGCUUGCUUUGCAAGUGUUAUAGUUCCUGCGUCAUACUACCAGUUUGGACUGAGGAUAGCGUCUUUGACUAGGAUGCUGGCGUAAUGGCUGUAAACGACCCGUCUUGAAACACGGACCAAGGAGUCUAACAUCUGCGCGAGUGUUUGGGUGUCAAGCUCGCACGCGUAAUGAAAGUGAACGA
RNAcentral lists this ribosomal RNA (606 nucleotides) under uncultured fungus. RNAcentral describes it as "eukaryotic LSU rRNA". It matches the Rfam family "Eukaryotic large subunit ribosomal RNA", at positions 106 to 732 of the family's 3401-position model. The record is from RNAcentral. Lineage: Eukaryota; Fungi.